Molecule: ribosomal RNA, 253 nt
Filed under: uncultured bacterium
Lineage: Bacteria
Description: partial 16S ribosomal RNA
Rfam family: Bacterial small subunit ribosomal RNA
Source: RNAcentral
UACGUAGGCAGCAAGCGUUGUUCGGAGUUACUGGGCGUAAAGAGUGCGUAGGUGGUGCCCUAAGUCUGUUGUGAAAUCUCCCGGCUUAACUGGGAGGGUGCGGUGGAGACUGGGGUGCUUGAGUGUGGGAGAGGUAAGCGGAAUUCCUGGUGUAGCGGUGAAAUGCGUAGAUAUCAGGAGGAACACCGGUGGUGUAGACGGCUUACUGGACCACGACUGACACUGAGGCACGAAAGCGUGGGUAGCAAACAGG